GACGAACGCUGGCGGCGUGCCUAAUACAUGCAAGUCGAACGCUUCUUUCCUCCCGAGUGCUUGCACUCGAUUGGAAAGAGGAGUGGCGGACGGGUGAGUAACACGUGGGUAACCUACCCAUCAGAGGGGGAUAACACUUGGAAACAGGUGCUAAUACCGCAUAACAGUUUAUGCCGCAUGGCAUAAGAGUGAAAGGCGAUUUCGGGGGUCGCUGAUGGAUGGACCCGCGGUGCAUUAGCUAGUUGGUGAGGUAACGGCUCACCAAGGCCACGAUGCAUAGCCGACCAGAGAGGGUGAUCGGCCACACUGGGACUGAGACACGGCCCAGACUCCUACGGGAGGCAGCAGUAGGGAAUCUUCGGCAAUGGACGAAAGUCUGACCGAGCAACGCCGCGUGAGUGAAGAAGGUUUUCGGAUCGUAAAACUCUGUUGUUAGAGAAGAACAAGGACGUUAGUAACUGGACGUCCCCUGACGGUAUCUAACCAGAAAGCCACGGCUAACUACGUGCCAGCCGCCGCGGUAA
This 524-nucleotide ribosomal RNA is filed under the name uncultured bacterium. Its description in RNAcentral is "partial 16S ribosomal RNA". It matches the Rfam family "Bacterial small subunit ribosomal RNA", at positions 28 to 523 of the family's 1533-position model. The record is from RNAcentral.